GGAAAAAAUUUGAUAAGGUAUUAGUAGCUGAUACUUCUGUUUCCUCUUUAAUAGUACGAUCGUUGAUUAGCUUCUAAAGCUUGAUGUAAACCAUCAGCAAAUUGACGUCCAUGUAAAGUUCUACCAGUAAAUUGAUUUAUAAUUAAAAAUCUUGUACCAGUAAAUAAUCUUUAGUACGUGCCAUAAUAAAAUAAGCUUUUAAAGCAUUUUUAAUACAAUGUAAUAAAGUACAAUUUUGAGGGCUAUAUAAAUUAUUCAUAUGAAAAAACAGUUCAGCUUUUUAAUUCCUUCUUCAGUUAAUUCAAUGGAUCGAGAUUAUGAAUCGAUAAUAUAACGUUGAGUACUAAGUGUCGGGGCAACUCGGUACUGAAGUUAACACAUUAAGUACUCCGCCUGAGUAGUACGUACGCAAGUAUGAAACUUAAGGAAUUGACGGGAUCCCGCACAAGCGGUGGAUCAUGUUGUUUAAUUUGAAGAUACACGAAAAACCUUACCAGGUCUUGACAUAUUCUGCGAAGCUAUAGAAAUAUAGUAGAGGUUACCAGAAAUACAGGUGGUGCAUGGUUGUCGUCAGCUCGUGUCGUGAGAUGUUAGGUUAAGUUCUAAAACGAGCGCAACCCUUAUCGUUAGUUACCAGCAUGUUAUGAUGGGGGACUUUAGCGAGACUGCCAAUGAAAAAUUGGAGGAAGGUGAGGAUUACGUCAAAUCAUCAUGCCCCUUAUGAUCUGGGCUACAAACGUGAUACAAUGGCUAUUACAAAGAGUAGCUGA
RNAcentral lists this ribosomal RNA (770 nucleotides) under Coconut lethal yellowing phytoplasma. RNAcentral's name for it is "bacterial SSU rRNA". The stretch from base 257 to 770 matches the Rfam family "Bacterial small subunit ribosomal RNA", at positions 1 to 1253 of the family's 1533-position model. The record is from RNAcentral. Lineage: Bacteria; Bacillati; Mycoplasmatota; Mollicutes; Acholeplasmatales; Acholeplasmataceae.